GGCUCGCUUCACGGCUUCCCUACGGCASCGACAACRGUCGCACCGUGGCCGACACCUAGCGAGUAUCGUUUACGGCUAGGACUACCCGGGUAUCUAAUCCGGUUCGUGCCCCUAGCUUUCGUCCCUUGCCGUCAGGUCCGUUCUGGUGAGACGCCKUCSCCACUGGUGGUCCUUCAAGGAUUACAAGAUUUCACCCCUACCCCUGAAGUACCUCUCACCUCUCCCGGCCUCGAGCCGAACAGUAUCUCCUGAAAGCCCAACAGUUGAGCUGCUGGAUUUCUCAAGARACUUAUCCGGCCGGCUACAGACCCUUUAGACCCAAUAAUAACGGUUACCACUCGAGCCGCCGGUGUUACCGCGGCGGCUGGMACCGGUCUUGCCCGGCCCUUGUAUGCAAUGCUUUUUAGGCAUCACGACAGCCAGAUUUGUAACCUGGCACUCGAGGUCCCCUUAUCGCCGUUGCCGGCAUUGUAAAGUUUUCGCGCCUGCUGACCCCGUAGGGCCUGGAUUCGUGUCUCAGAAUCCAUCUCCGGGCUCUUGCUCUCACAACCCGUACCCGUCGUAKGCUAGUAKGUACGCUACACCCACUACUACCUGAUAGGCCGCAGACCCAUCCUCUGGCGCCGGAGCUUUCGAUCUC
Molecule: ribosomal RNA, 640 nt
Filed under: uncultured archaeon
Lineage: Archaea
Description: partial 16S ribosomal RNA
Source: RNAcentral